UCCUCAGUAGCUCAGUUGGUUAGAGCAACGGACUGUUAAUCCGUGGGUCGUAAGUUCGAGUCUUACCUGGGGAG
RNAcentral lists this transfer RNA (74 nucleotides) under Bacteroidota bacterium. RNAcentral describes it as "Bacteroidetes bacterium (activated sludge metagenome) tRNA-Asn". It matches the Rfam family "tRNA". From Rfam's summary of the family: Transfer RNA (tRNA) molecules are approximately 80 nucleotides in length. Their secondary structure includes four short double-helical elements and three loops (D, anti-codon, and T loops). The record is from RNAcentral. RNAcentral also lists the same sequence under 3 other names. Lineage: Bacteria; Pseudomonadati; Bacteroidota.